UUCCGGUUGAUCCUGCCGGACCUGACUGCUAUCGGAUUGAUACUAAGCCAUGCGAGUCAUUGUAGCAAUACAAGGCAGACGGCUCAGUAACGCGUAGUCAACCUAACCUAUGGACGAGAAUAACCUCGGGAAACCGAGAAUAAUGCUCGAUAGAACACUAUACCUGGAAUGGUUUGUGUUCCAAAUGAUUUAUCGCCGUAGGAUGGGACUGCGGCCUAUCAGUUUGUUGGUGAGGUAAUGGCCCACCAAGACUAUUACAGGUACGGGCUCUGAGAGGAGUAGCCCGGAGAUGGGUACUGAGACACGGACCCAGGCCCUAUGGGGCGCAGCAGGCGAGAAAACUUUGCAAUGUGCGAAAGCACGACAAGGUUAAUCCGAGUGAUUUGUGCUAAACGAAUCUUUUGUUAGUCCUGGAACCACUAACGAAUAAGGGGUGGGCAAGUUCUGGUGUCAGCCGCCGCGGUAAAACCAGCACCUCAAGUGGUCAGGAUGAUUAUUGGGCCUAAAGCAUCCGUAGCCGGCUCUGUAAGUUUUCGGUUAAAUCUGUACGCUUAACGUACAGGCUGCCGGGAAUACUGCAGAGCUAGGGAGUGGGAGAGGUAGACGGUACUCGGUAGGAAGGGGUAAAAUCCUUUGAUCUAUUGAUGA
This 648-nucleotide ribosomal RNA is filed under the name uncultured archaeon. RNAcentral's name for it is "bacterial SSU rRNA". It matches the Rfam family "Archaeal small subunit ribosomal RNA", at positions 1 to 656 of the family's 1478-position model. The record is from RNAcentral.